GACGAACGCUGGCGGCGUGCUUAACACAUGCAAGUCGAACGAUGAAGCUGGAGCUUGCUCUGGCGGAUUAGUGGCGAACGGGUGAGUAACACGUGAGAAAUCUGCCCUUGACUCUGGGAUAACUGCGGGAAACUGUAGCUAAUACCGGAUACUUUCCCUGGUGGGCAUCCACUGGGGAAGAAAGAAUUUCGGUCAAGGAUGAUCUCGCGGCCUAUCAGCUUGCUGGUGAGGUAAUGGCUCACCAAGGCGACGACGGGUAGCCGGCCUGAGAGGGUGACCGGCCACACUGGGACUGAGACACGGCCCAGACUCCAACGGGAGGCAGCAGGGGGGAAGAUUGCACAAUGGGCGCAAGCCUGAUGCAGCAACGCCGCGUGAGGGAUGAAGGCCUUCGGGUUGUAAACCUCUUUUAGCAGGGAAGAAGCGAAAGUGACGGUACCUGCAGAAAAAGCACCGGCUAACUACGUGCCAGCCGCCGCCGUAA
RNAcentral lists this ribosomal RNA (484 nucleotides) under uncultured bacterium. RNAcentral describes it as "partial 16S ribosomal RNA". It matches the Rfam family "Bacterial small subunit ribosomal RNA", at positions 28 to 523 of the family's 1533-position model. The record is from RNAcentral.